UAAAUAAAAAUGAAAAUAUAAACAAAAAACAGUUAUUCAUUUCCACUAUUUUUUAAAAAAAAUCCACAGGGAGCCACUGGAGAGGGGCUAAAGAGCCGCAGGUUGCUGCCCCCUGGUCUAGACAGAAUAACUGGCUCAAGGAGAAAUCUCGUUCUGAAAUCUCGCGAGGUGGCGUGGUACCGGAAGACAACGGUUGAAUAGUGGAAUUAACAAACUGUGGUGGAAACGGAAACGCGAGUGCCAGCCAGGCAGAGUUUGUUGUGUUGGAGGACAGAAAGUGUCGCUUAGUGUUAGCUAAAAGAUGUUCAAUGCCAUGGCUGAAUAUUUAGAUGAUUUUGACAAUGAGGAAGAAGUCUGAAUUUAAUGGCCGCCCAUGUUUGAGCCAGAGUACAAAGAUAUUCAGAUUUUAUACCAAGACUUGGACACAAUAACAAACAAACAGGAUCAAGCGAAAGAUGCUCUGUGGAGUUUGUAGUGGUUCCAUGGAGCGAUGCAUGCAAGCCCAGUAUUCCACCGGCUGACGGUUGGUGGCAGUAAUGCGUCAAGAAAUCUGGUGAUGUACCGACAAAAGGAGGCAAAGAAGAAGACUGCAAGCUGAUUUCCACAAAUGGCCACAAACAAGCAGCAAGGCUGAGUGGCGAAGCCGAAUCCAUGUCCCUUAAUCAACGAAUCCUCAUACAACGUACCGAGACAGAACACUGUCUGUGAUGCUGAUGCUCAAACCCGAACAAGUGGAUGUGGCAAAUGUGUGAUGACAAGUCGACUUGAGGCGUCAUGUGGUGAAAAGCCUCACUGAGAGCCGUCUAGCCAUGCCCAGUACCCAGCAUGCCCCAGGGCACAGACAGAAGGAGCCACGCUGUCUCCUGGGACCAGAAAUAGGUCAUGUCUGCUCUCCCUGACUGCAACACGUAGUUCCAUCCAAUAAAAGGUGCUCUGACUGUCUAUCAGGAAGUGAGAAAUCGCCCUCGGGGGGCCUGAAGAGGUUCAGAGAGAAACUCAACUCGAGCUGCCUGUAAUCCAGCUGCGCCGACGUGAGGACGAUACCAAUGGAUGCAACUGCAAGGAGGAGGUAUUAAUUUUUCAUUCGACACUCUUCAACAAU
This is a long non-coding RNA of Sebastes umbrosus (honeycomb rockfish), 1102 nucleotides long. RefSeq lists it as uncharacterized. The transcript has 5 exons. Lineage: Eukaryota; Metazoa; Chordata; Actinopteri; Perciformes; Sebastidae. The record is from RefSeq and is a predicted model, not a curated record.